RNAcentral lists this unclassified non-coding RNA (421 nucleotides) under Hevea brasiliensis (rubber tree). Lineage: Eukaryota; Viridiplantae; Streptophyta; Magnoliopsida; Malpighiales; Euphorbiaceae. The record is from RNAcentral.
AAAAAGAGCCCCUUGUCUCACUCUCUCUCUUCCCGAAAUCUAGUUAAGCUUUGCCAUGGAAUUUAUGUUUGCAUAUUUAAAUGCCAUCACAGCAGGACUUAUUGCCAUACUUCUGUUCGCCUGCUAUAUAAGGAGGUCUACAGCUGCCAAGAAACCUCAACCGCCCAAAGCCGGUGGUGCGUGGCCCAUAAUUGGUCAUCUCCCUUUGUUAACAGGAUCCCAAGUUCCCCACAUAUCGUUGGGAGCUUUAGCUGACAAGUACGGACCAAUCUUCACCAUUCAGAUUGGGAUACACCAAGCCUUGGUGGUGAGCUCUUGGGAAUUGGCUAAGGAAAUUUUCACUACCAACGAUAUAGCCGUGUCUGGCCGCCCUAAUUUCACUGCGGCAAAGUACCUGGGCUACGAUAGUGUCAUGUUCGCG